AUAGUUCAGGGGCAGGCGGAAUUCCUGGUGUAGCGGUGGAAUGCGUAGAGAUCAGGAAGAACACCGAUGGCGAAGGCAGCCUGCUGGGGACUUAUCGACGCUGAGGCUCGAAAGUGCGGGUAGCAAACAGGAUUAGAUACCCUGGUAGUCCGCACCGUAAACAAUGCAUACUGGGUGUCCGGGGGUUCCCCCGGGUACCGUA
RNAcentral lists this ribosomal RNA (202 nucleotides) under uncultured Fibrobacter sp. RNAcentral's name for it is "partial 16S ribosomal RNA". It matches the Rfam family "Bacterial small subunit ribosomal RNA", at positions 646 to 850 of the family's 1533-position model. Lineage: Bacteria; Pseudomonadati; Fibrobacterota; Fibrobacteria; Fibrobacterales; Fibrobacteraceae. The record is from RNAcentral.